RNAcentral lists this non-coding RNA (203 nucleotides) under Neocallimastix californiae. Its description in RNAcentral is "Eukaryotic large subunit ribosomal RNA". It matches the Rfam family "Eukaryotic large subunit ribosomal RNA", at positions 1505 to 1711 of the family's 3401-position model. Lineage: Eukaryota; Fungi; Neocallimastigomycota; Neocallimastigomycetes; Neocallimastigales; Neocallimastigaceae. The record is from Rfam by way of RNAcentral.
GGUUCCAUGUGAACAGCAGUUGGACAUGGGUAAGUCGAUCCUAAGAGAUAGGGAAACUCCGUUUUAAAGUUGAACGAUUUUUCGUUCCACCUUAUCAAAAGGGAAUCCGGUUAAUAUUCCGUAACUAGGCUAUGGAUAUUUACUACGGUAACGUAAAUGAAAGAUUUUUAAAUUUAAUUGAUUAAACUUUCAUUAUUACGUUC